UUAACUACUGAUAUAAUUAAUGCUUGGAGAAACUUAAAAGUAAAAUUGUGUUUAGUUAGGCCACAAAUUAUUCUAUAACAUUAAUCUGAAGUUCCGUUUUCUUUUCAGCUGCUGCUAAUCAAGUUUCGGCGAGCGUUUACUUGGGAGUGGGAAUAGUGCUCUUUAUCACUGCUCUAGUGGCAGUCUUCGUCAUGUACAUCUUCUUCAUCAUUUCAAGCGGGAAAAAGAAAAGAGCCGACUUGGGAAUAAUGAGAUGUUUAAUCUGUAAAUGCUGUGAGCCUAAACAACCUCCAGUCGAUCGCUACCAGCCACCCUACGACUACAAACUCCUAUCGCUCGAGAAGUGCGCCACAAACUCCUUCCACGUUCCACUCUACUCUCACCCGCGCCUCGUCCCCGUGGAGCCUUCCGAUUCCUUUGAACGUGCCCCGGUCUACAGAGAACUCGAACAAAUGACCAUCCAAACAAACUCAAUGAGUAAAUACGAGCAGUUGUUCUGAAAUGGAGUCACGUGACUGAUAACCUCAGUCAGAUACGAGCUCUCUUUUUGUCCAGUUCUUAUCAGAUAGUUUCGUGGUGUGAUCAGUAGAGAAUCAGGGAGAUAUUUGACAGGAUUGCUGAUCUGCACGUGUAAGAUGAGCAUUGGAUGGUACACGUACGUGAAGAUGUGUGCACGUGUGCGCGCGACGCUUUGCCGUACAGAAAGUGAAUAUCCACAGAGUCGCAGGGACAGACAAUAUAGUUGUUGCAGACUCUGUGUACAGAUCAUACUGAUAGCCAGAAAAAUCUAAAGACUUUUCACACACGUGGGACGCGUCACAAGUCAUCGCGUUAUCUCUCACGCGUUAACUCUACAAUGCUGCAACCAGGCGUGAGGUAUCACGCAUUUGCGUGAGGUAUCACGCAUUCGCACGUGAGCCUGCACGCGAUACUCUUGAGACGAUAUUUAUGCACCGCAGUGCUCCUGUGAGGCGCUGUGACGUUAGAAAGUGCAUGUUAUUUUCAGAUUCCUUUUAAGUUAUACUUUGACUCUUUCAAUCCGAGGUAAACGUUUAAUUUUAAUUUUGAAUUGAUAUAAUUUGAACGUUAUUUAAUUUUAAGAUAAAUUUACUUUUGGGGCUUAAUAUUUGAAUAACUAUUAUUUGAAGCUACGAACGGAAAUUUAAUUAAACUUUGAAUUGUUCUGAUACGUGGCUUGACUUUUUCCAAUUACGGAUUCUUCUCCGCAAAUAUGUUUAAACUUUUAAAAAGCUUGUUUUUGCAGAGCUGACAAAGCAUUAAAUAUGUAAAGCGGAUAACCAACACAAUUACUAAUAAUACCACGUCGUUAUGAUGUUUAAAAAGUCUAUAAUCUUUAAAACUGUCUUGAUAAUUAGGUAUUU
Molecule: long non-coding RNA, 1382 nt
Organism: Bolinopsis microptera
Lineage: Eukaryota; Metazoa; Ctenophora; Tentaculata; Lobata; Bolinopsidae
Exons: 3
Source: RefSeq, a predicted model, not a curated record